AGUGAACGCUGGCGGCAGGCCUAAUACAUGCAAGUCGAACGGCAGCACAGCAGAGCUUGCUCUGUGGGUGGCGAGUGGCGGACGGGUGAGGAAUACAUGGGAAUCUGCCCAGUCGUGGGGGAUAACGUAUGGAAACGUACGCUAAUACCGCAUGCGCCCUAAGGGGGAAAGCCGGGGACCGCAAGGCCUGGCGCGAUUGGAUGAGCCCAUGUGCGAUUAGCUAGUUGGCGGGGUAAAGGCCCACCAAGGCGACGAUCGCUAGCUGGUCUGAGAGGAUGAUCAGCCACACUGGAACUGAGACACGGUCCAGACUCCUACGGGAGGCAGCAGUAGGGAAUAUUGGACAAUGGGGGCAACCCUGAUCCAGCCAUGCCGCGUGAGUGAAGAAGGCCCUCGGGUUGUAAAGCUCUUUUGUCCGGAAAGAAAAGCAAAUCGGUGAAUACCCGGUUGUUCUGACGGUACCGCAGGAAGAAGCACCGGCUAACUCCGUCG
Molecule: ribosomal RNA, 492 nt
Filed under: uncultured bacterium
Lineage: Bacteria
Description: bacterial SSU rRNA
Rfam family: Bacterial small subunit ribosomal RNA
Source: RNAcentral